CUUACGGUAGAUAGGAGACGCAUGGGGUGCUCUGAAGGCAGCAAUUAGAGCCACUGAAUUGGAUCCAUCUGGGGCUGAGGUAUGUCUGGAAUUCUUAACGGACUCGGGUGCAAUUUCAUUAGUCAUUUUCACACAUGUUGCAGGUGUUGGCUUAUGUCUUAGCUUGUAGAUCUUGGUGAAAGUCUUCUAGUAUCUAUUAAUCUGUUCUGCCAAUUGCAUAACGUUA
Molecule: long non-coding RNA, 226 nt
Organism: Rhodamnia argentea
Lineage: Eukaryota; Viridiplantae; Streptophyta; Magnoliopsida; Myrtales; Myrtaceae
Exons: 3
Source: RefSeq, a predicted model, not a curated record